RNAcentral lists this ribosomal RNA (274 nucleotides) under uncultured bacterium. RNAcentral's name for it is "partial 16S ribosomal RNA". It matches the Rfam family "Bacterial small subunit ribosomal RNA", at positions 523 to 796 of the family's 1533-position model. The record is from RNAcentral.
AUACAGAGGGUGCGAGCGUUAAUCGGAAUUACUGGGCGUAAAGCGCGCGUAGGCGGCUACUUAAGUCAGAUGUGAAAUCCCCGGGCUCAACCUGGGAACUGCAUCUGAUACUGGGUAGCUAGAGUUUAGGAGAGGGAAGUAGAAUUUCAGGUGUAGCGGUGAAAUGCAUAGAGAUCUGAAGGAAUACCAGUGGCGAAGGCGGCUUCCUGGCCUAAAACUGACGCUGAGGUGCGAAAGCGUGGGUAGCAAACGGGAUUAGAUACCCUAGUAGUCC